This 370-nucleotide long non-coding RNA is filed under the name Arabidopsis thaliana (thale cress). RNAcentral describes it as "long non-coding RNA (ATHA_LNC000203)". The record is from RNAcentral. Lineage: Eukaryota; Viridiplantae; Streptophyta; Magnoliopsida; Brassicales; Brassicaceae.
UGGAUAGUAAUGUAGCUGAGGUGCUUGAUGAGGAUGAGAUUGGUGGUGACGAGGAUAAUAAUGAGAUUGUUGAGUCUGAGGAGAAGAAGAUGAAGAAGAGGAAGAAGGAGGUAAGUGAAGUUGCAGAGAGUGAGAAGCCGAUGAAGAAAGCUGCCAAAGGGAAGUUGAAACCUGAUGUUGAGAAACCGAUGAAGAAAGCUGCCAAAGGGAAGUCGAAACCCGAUGUUGAGAAACCUAUGCAGAAAGCUGCGGUCAAGGGGAAAGUUAAACCAGAUGUUGUGAAGCUGGAGAAGAGCAAGGACGGCUUAAAGGCGAAAAAGACAACAAUGGUUGCGAAAGACGAAUCUGGUGGUGGAUUGAAGCCGAAGAG